GCAUUGGUGGUUCAAUGGUAGAAUUCCUGCCUCCCAUGCAGGAGACCUGGGUUCAAUUCCCAGCCAGUGCA
Molecule: transfer RNA, 71 nt
Organism: Alligator mississippiensis (American alligator)
Lineage: Eukaryota; Metazoa; Chordata; Crocodylia; Alligatoridae
Rfam family: tRNA
About the family: Transfer RNA (tRNA) molecules are approximately 80 nucleotides in length. Their secondary structure includes four short double-helical elements and three loops (D, anti-codon, and T loops). Further hydrogen bonds mediate the characteristic L-shaped molecular structure. tRNAs have two regions of fundamental functional importance: the anti-codon, which is responsible for specific mRNA codon recognition, and the 3' end, to which the tRNAs corresponding amino acid is attached (by aminoacyl-tRNA synthetases). tRNAs cope with the degeneracy of the genetic code in two manners: having more than one tRNA (with a specific anti-codon) for a particular amino acid; and 'wobble' base-pairing, i.e. permitting non-standard base-pairing at the 3rd anti-codon position.
Source: Rfam